UACGUAGGGGGCAAGCGUUGUCCGGAUUUAUUGGGCGUAAAGCGCGUGUAGGCGGCUAGGUAGGUCCGCUGUGAAAACCCGAGGCUCAACCUCGGGACGUCGGCGGAAACCAUUUGGCUAGAGUCCGGAAGAGGAGAGUGGAAUUCCCGGUGUAGCGGUGAAAUGCGCAGAUAUCGGGAAGAACACCCGUGGCGAAGGCGGCUCUCUGGGACGGUACUGACGCUGAGACGCGAAAGCGUGGGGAGCGAACAGG
Molecule: ribosomal RNA, 253 nt
Filed under: uncultured bacterium
Lineage: Bacteria
Description: partial 16S ribosomal RNA
Rfam family: Bacterial small subunit ribosomal RNA
Source: RNAcentral